UACGUAGGGGGCAAGCGUUGUCCGGAUUUAUUGGGCGUAAAGAGCGUGUAGGCGGUUUGGUAGGUCCGCUGUGAAAACUCGAGGCUCAACCUCGAGACGCCGGUGGAAACCAUCAGGCUAGAGUCCGGAAGAGGAGAGUGGAAUUCCCGGUGUAGUGGUGAAAUGCGUAGAUAUCGGGAGGAACACCAGUGGCGAAGGCGACUUCCUGGCCUGUUCUUGACGCUGAGGCGCGAAAGCUAGGGGAGCAAACAGG
Molecule: ribosomal RNA, 253 nt
Filed under: uncultured bacterium
Lineage: Bacteria
Description: partial 16S ribosomal RNA
Rfam family: Bacterial small subunit ribosomal RNA
Source: RNAcentral